This is a non-coding RNA of Microcebus murinus (gray mouse lemur), 2178 nucleotides long. The record is from RefSeq and is a predicted model, not a curated record. Lineage: Eukaryota; Metazoa; Chordata; Mammalia; Primates; Cheirogaleidae.
GCCCCAAAUGAUCUUCUCGCCCUGGUCUCCCAAAGUGUUGGGGUUACCGACAUGACCCACCGUGCCUGCCUGGCCUGUGAAAGCACUUUGUAAAAUAAUAAUCAAAAGCCAUUUAACAAGGGUCUUUAAGGUAACAGGAUGACAUUGCUGGGGUGGGGCUAGGACUUGGUUUCUUCCUAUGGAGAGUCACUGGCUUUGAACAUUGCUUUCUGGCUACAGGAAGAGGAAGCUCUCCCGGAGACGGGGAUGAUGGGAAGGGGAGAAAGUAGACUUCGACAAUAGCAGAUGGCGGAGCCCCUGGCCCGUCGUCAGCCUGAAUGAUCUGAUUGACAGCCCCGUGGAAGGAGGAGCCACGACUCCAUGAGACCGGGGGUGACAGUCCUCACGCAGGGCUUGGAUGGCAAGAUUGCUAAGGGUUCCUUGUCCUCCCGCAGCCUCUGUUCCACCCACAGUGCUGCACCCGCGGCUGCAUCCCAGAAUCCCGGAAGCGGCUGCGUCCCGGAAGCGGCUGCGUCCCGGAAGCGGCUGCGUCGGCCCCAAUGCCAGGUCUGAGGAGACAGCCAAGGCAGAGGGACACGAGGAAACGUGCUCUGGAGUCCGCAUGACUCCCCGCCCCACGUCUGGGGUGCCCCGAGAAGGCCGGGCAAGGUCCCGGGUUAUGACGAGGGCCACCCAUAGGAGAGGCGAGUCUCAGCUGAGCCGAAGCCACCUGCGCUCCCUCGUGGGAGCGGGACCGACAUCCCGUCUUCCCAGGAGUCCCGGCGGAGACAGGAAGCGUGGGCCCUGUGUGCUCCUGGCGGCUCUGGCCGUAGAACACAGCAAAUCACGGCGGCUCCAGGGAGGAAGAUGCCCAGUGCCAGGGCAGGGGCUCCUCAGGAAACUCGGCUUCCAGAAGGAUAAAGCACAUUUCCAUGUAUAAGACCUUACUCUUGAGAACAGUCUCCUUCACGUGCCUUCUGCCUCACCUGCCUCUGCAAAAUCCGUGUCGGUCGUGUACCCCCGUGAUGAAAUGAGGCCUUGCCCUGCGAGUCAGUAGACCCGAGCGCUCAGACGAGCCAGGUGAUGGCACGCAGGGAGUGAAGAGGCAGGAAAAUGAGAGUUGAGGACCACUCUUAAGAUGGCAAAGGAGCCUUGUCCCCAGCGCUGAGGAGGAACUCGAGAAGAGUCUUGGAGAAGAAGGGAGAGAUCACAACCCUGUGCUAUUUGUUGCCUAGUGUCUGAAACCACAAUGAGGAAGUUAAAUAGCAAUUACUCUUUCACGGUCAAAAUCCAGAACCAUUAACAUAAGAGAACAGUUUGGACCACAGGACAAAUAACAUUAGACAGAGAAAAAGUAUCUAUUGACCACCUGCUGUGGGCUUCUAAAGAAGUAGAAGGCAUUGUCCUUCCAACUUGCUGAAGGAAGAGACAACAUUCAUACAUGUACAAGGUACAGGAAACAGCAAGACAGUUGAGAAUCUCUGGAAGGUUGAAGCUACACAGGGGUGAAGGCACUGCAGCCAUACUUCACUGACUCCCUCCUCCAGGGCCAAGGAGGACAUUUGGAAGCAUUCUCUUUGGAAACCGUACCUAAGACAGGUUGUUUCAACCCAGGCUUGGGACAUUAAGGAUUGGCCUCCAACAUAAUGAGGGAGCUUGCUCUCAUUUUCCCAGCUGCUAAGGCACAAGAUGUCCUGUUUGUCGUUACCUGGCAGAUAAGCAUCCAAGGGCACCAUCGUUAUGACAACAAGAGAUGUUCUUGCACGAAGAGUGCCACCAGCCUGGCACAUGCUCCUCUGCAAAGAAAUUGGAUGGGUGUUCAGGCAAUAAAGAUGCUUCUCACUUUUUGUGAACACAACACACGUUGUGUGCUUGAUGCUCCUGUGACAAAGACCCCAGUCAUCAAAGUUUAGCAAUUGCCCUGAAAAGUCACAGGCAGAAGUUCAGCAACGGAUACACCAUGCAUGAGUAGCAGCGAAGGAGCUGCAUGGAUUUCCAUGCCCGCUGCAGCUGCUAAAAUAUUGUUGUCUACAUCCAUCCGUUCAUUUGGGUGGCCCAAUGCAGUUGGCUUCGGAAAUCCUGCAGGUGACUAGACAAGGAGCUUGAGACUGAAGGGCUUCGGGAGUUCAAAUAGCCUGGAAGUGCGGCUUACUCACUUCUGGAGAAAUAAGGCCAUUUUCUAUGACUCAGAGAGGCCAG